Dermacentor albipictus is the source of this 1139-nucleotide non-coding RNA. The record is from RefSeq and is a predicted model, not a curated record. NCBI's taxonomy places the organism in Eukaryota, Metazoa, Arthropoda, Arachnida, Ixodida, Ixodidae.
UUCUGUUCCAUGCCAGUGCUUUACAAGAAGAUGGCAAGGCGGAUCUUUAAAAACUGCGUCAUCGGAUGAGGAAUCUUCGUUCGUCUGUUCUUUGGAAGCCACUGAUGGAAUCAACAUCUGUGACGGAACGGACACUACCACUUCUUCUGGACUUGGUCCGAUACCAGUCAAGGAACCCUGGAACGUCGCUUAUCGCCUAUACAGCCUACAAAGACAGCGUAAUCUCAGUCUGCCUCUGGAGCGUGGUACCGGCACGGCUAUUGCUGCGUCGCUCACGCGAAUGCGCUUCUUUGUGCAGGCAUUUAUGGCUGCUGUGUAUCUGUGCUGUGCGUACUUGGGCCACUGGAUGUGUGCAACUGGGAGUGUUUCCGAAUAGACAAGUAGAACAAGAAGCAAGAUUUGAAGUCGGCAACACAAGCAGAGUGUGGAGAAUGAGGAGGACACCUCAACAGCACCCCCGGAGCCGCCCCGCAGUCGGCGCCUAUGGGACCAUGCGUGUCAGAAGUGCGUGUGCUCAAGCUUUAAUGGUGCCGUUGGAUCAAUAAGUACCCAGGGUUUACCCGGCUUGUCGAUGAGUUAAAGUGCUUACGAUGGGGCGUAGCGCUCCCCGAUGAACACAUAAUGCGAUAAGAGUAACGGUAUUGCGAUUUCGUCAUUUCGCCUCAUUUCAAUCUGGUCGUUUUCACGCAACCUAACUUCACAACUUCCGCCAUAUCUUGCCCUUUGUAAUUACAUACUUUUCGACGGCGAUCCUCUCACUUCACAUUCACUCUAUCGCGUGAGGAUAAGGGCAAUUAAAUGAGGGUGAGAGCACCUUUGCUGGGGUUUGUCCUCGAGAGGGUGACCGUGCCUAGUCCUAAAACGGAUGGAAUCGCCGUGGUCUGCGAGAGAAAAGGAUGGCGUCGUCAUCAUCAGACGCUGUACCAUUCAACCCUUCAGGCUCUACGGCCACUUCUCCGGUGGAGUCCUACGGUCUCACGCAAUUUGACGCAACCGCAAAACUUGAUUCCAUCGCGAAAGGUGGUCUUCCUGAAUUAGGGGUAUCUCCCGUGACGGAAUCGAGAGACAAGGUUUAAGAGCUUGUUUAAGAGCUUUAAGAGCCCUAUAAAUGACCACGGAGUGGAAUCCAUGUUGGCUUC